This is a non-coding RNA of Theobroma cacao (cacao), 510 nucleotides long. The record is from RefSeq and is a predicted model, not a curated record. NCBI's taxonomy places the organism in Eukaryota, Viridiplantae, Streptophyta, Magnoliopsida, Malvales, Malvaceae.
AGGAAAAGUGUGAAAAUUCAAGGAAACAAGUGAAAAAGGUGGUGAAUCCUCCGCUAAGGGCAAAGAAAUUGUACCCGAGGAUCGGUAGUCAAAGUACUCUAGAAAUUCGACUCCCGAAAUAGCUGGGUAGUAUAAUAUUAGUCAUGUCAUGCUGUCAAAAUUUUAUUGUACGGUGGGUUUAGCUUACUGCAAUGGGCGGAUUCUAUGGACCAGCCUAUUAGAGGGGCACGAAUCCGGUUUUAUAUGUACCUCGGUCAGAAAGGCGCGUAGGGUAUCUCUUGAGGCAUGGUUAGAGUUCAUGUCACACCGAACCACCUUGUGAUGAUGAACUCCGCUAACGCCAAGAAACGGCUAUAUUUUUCAAACUAAAAAUAUGUUUAUGUGUAUAUGAAACUUUUUAACAGCCUUAGCGGACUCGGUUAAAUGCCUCGGUCAAGGUAUUCCCGAGAAUGAUUUUGGCAGGAGCCAAGCUUUGAAGAUACUCAUAAGCCAUGUUGAUUAUUUAAAUGA